UGUGUGUGUGUGGUGUGUUGUGGUCUGCAGUAGUGGAUGAGGGUACGACUCUCGCUAUCAGGACCUAGCAUCUGCCAUCAAGCGGAACGUUCCUGAUGCGACGGUGACGGGAACCACGGGGCGGCGCUCCAGUUUCGAGGUAACAGUGAAUGGUAAACUGGCCUUCUCUAAACUGGAGGCAGGAGGAUUCCCAGACAGCAAGGAGAUGGUGGCGAUGGU
Molecule: long non-coding RNA, 219 nt
Organism: Salvelinus fontinalis (brook trout)
Lineage: Eukaryota; Metazoa; Chordata; Actinopteri; Salmoniformes; Salmonidae
Exons: 3
Source: RefSeq, a predicted model, not a curated record